RNAcentral lists this transfer RNA (73 nucleotides) under Hyphomicrobium sp. RNAcentral describes it as "tRNA-Arg". It matches the Rfam family "tRNA". Rfam says of the family: Transfer RNA (tRNA) molecules are approximately 80 nucleotides in length. Their secondary structure includes four short double-helical elements and three loops (D, anti-codon, and T loops). Further hydrogen bonds mediate the characteristic L-shaped molecular structure. tRNAs have two regions of fundamental functional importance: the anti-codon, which is responsible for specific mRNA codon recognition, and the 3' end, to which the tRNAs corresponding amino acid is attached (by aminoacyl-tRNA synthetases). tRNAs cope with the degeneracy of the genetic code in two manners: having more than one tRNA (with a specific anti-codon) for a particular amino acid; and 'wobble' base-pairing, i.e. permitting non-standard base-pairing at the 3rd anti-codon position. The record is from RNAcentral. Lineage: Bacteria; Pseudomonadati; Pseudomonadota; Alphaproteobacteria; Hyphomicrobiales; Hyphomicrobiaceae.
GCGCGGGUAGCUCAGUGGAUAGAGCAGCGGCUUCCUAAGCCGUUGGUCGCCGGUUCGAUUCCGGCUCCGCGCA